AUACGGAGGAUGCAAGCGUUAUCCGGAUUUAUUGGGUUUAAAGGGUGCGUAGGCGGUUUGCUAAGCGGGAGGUGAAAUGCCGGCGCUCAACGUCGGAAGUGCCUCCCGAACUGGUGGACUUGAAUGACUCUGCCGUGGGAGGAAUGUGUAGUGUAGCGGUGAAAUGCUUAGAGAUUACACAGAACACCGAUUGCGAAGGCAUCUCACGAAGGGUUGAUUGACGCUGAGGCACGAAAGCGUGGGGAUCAAACAGGAUUAGAUACCCUGGUAGUCCCCGCAGUAAACGAUGAUGGCUAACCGCUGGGCUUAUCAGUUCAGUGGCCAAGCGAAAGCGAUAAGCCAUCCACCUGGGGAGUACGACCGCAAGGUUGAAACUCAAAUGAAUUGACGGGG
This 393-nucleotide ribosomal RNA is filed under the name uncultured bacterium. Its description in RNAcentral is "partial 16S ribosomal RNA". It matches the Rfam family "Bacterial small subunit ribosomal RNA", at positions 523 to 918 of the family's 1533-position model. The record is from RNAcentral.